RNAcentral lists this transfer RNA (71 nucleotides) under Guillardia theta. RNAcentral's name for it is "tRNA-Gly". It matches the Rfam family "tRNA". From Rfam's summary of the family: Transfer RNA (tRNA) molecules are approximately 80 nucleotides in length. Their secondary structure includes four short double-helical elements and three loops (D, anti-codon, and T loops). Further hydrogen bonds mediate the characteristic L-shaped molecular structure. tRNAs have two regions of fundamental functional importance: the anti-codon, which is responsible for specific mRNA codon recognition, and the 3' end, to which the tRNAs corresponding amino acid is attached (by aminoacyl-tRNA synthetases). tRNAs cope with the degeneracy of the genetic code in two manners: having more than one tRNA (with a specific anti-codon) for a particular amino acid; and 'wobble' base-pairing, i.e. permitting non-standard base-pairing at the 3rd anti-codon position. The record is from RNAcentral. Lineage: Eukaryota; Cryptophyceae; Pyrenomonadales; Geminigeraceae.
ACGUUGCUAGUUUACUGGUAAAAUGCGUCUUUGCCAUAGAUGAGUACCGGGUUCGAUUCCCGGGCAGCGUA